ACAACACAGUUCGAUAGCCCUUUUGGUCCUAGAUUCCAGAACGAAGGACAACCACCAACCAACGGGUGGAUGGACCGGAUCUUCAGUAUGUACGGGGAGGUAAUGGACUGAGCGGUCUCGCACUGUACUUGUUUGUGUGAGGCCCACGCCCCUCGUGCCCUGAGUUCUCAUUGGGGCGGCCCCACAUUUCAUUGGCUCAGAGUUGGCUCUCUGAGCCAAUGACAGAGCCUUCUGAGAGUUACACUAAUGAGCCUAGCCCGGGCAGAGUAGACUCCGGCCGAGCUUGAGCGGACUUAUUUAGUCCAGCCUUCUAUAGCAUGCCCGUCCUGGAGCCCUCCGUCCCUCUCCGGCAGCCCCGCCCAGCUUGGGACUGCUCACCUCGUGAGGGAACGCUCUUUACAUUAAAAGGAAAGCUUUAAUUCCAUCCACUGAACUCAGCUCCAGACCUGGGGCCAAGAAGGGUUCAGUCUCCGGCGCCGUCUGCUAAAGCCUGAUGGGACUGAAGGAGGUCCGAGCUCCCAGCCGCCCUGUUCUGUCGCGCCUUCUUUCCUCCCCGCGGCACUCUCAGCGAACAGGAACCGAAUGAACCAGCGAGACGGUAGGUCCUUCCUUGUAAUCUGGAUCCCUGCUGCUGGAUCAGAUUUUCUUCCAUUCAGAUUGUUCCUGAUUUCCUUGGGGCUUCCUUUUGUGAUUUCCUGCUUCCUGCCAAAUGGACACUUAACGCAUAUUUCUUCAAACUAUGGGAAACUUCACUGAUGGUCAUUAGAAAUACCUGCCCCAUUCUCUAUCCAACCCAAGACUUUCUCACAAAGUUCCCAAAAAAGUAAACAGGAGAUGGAGGAUUUAGGGUUGAGCUCCUGGGUAUUACCAGCAGGUUAGUGAUUAUAAAUAUCUCUUUUUCCUCAGUAACUCAGCCAAAAUUUUAUCUAAAUCCUGCUUGAAUCUCAUUUGAUUUUGCCACCCUCUGAAAUAAGAUCUAUAAGUCUACUUGGGAAAUAGGAAUUCCUUUUGCUUGCCUAUAGUUUUCUUUUUUGGGUUUUAAAAAGAGUUACAGAUUUUACUUUUGUGGCUACAUAAACAAACCUGUACCUACUUCUGAUCAUAUCCUCUUUCAACCUAGGUAGAGAUGAUUAUAUAUAUAUAUAACCUAGAUCAGAUUGUUUGCUAUCUUGGGGAGGGAGGAGAUAAGGAAGGGAUGAAAAAAAUUUUUAGAAUUUAAAAUCUUACAAAAAUGAAUAUUGAAAACUAUCUUUACAUGCAAUUAGAAAAAUAAAAUAUUGUUGAAUUCAACUCAUAUAGAGUGCUACAAGUCACCAUUGCUUUCAUUGAAUUUACAUAGCCAAGCUUGGAGAGAUUACUA
Antechinus flavipes (yellow-footed antechinus) is the source of this 1360-nucleotide long non-coding RNA. RefSeq lists it as uncharacterized. The record is from RefSeq and is a predicted model, not a curated record. The transcript is spliced from 3 exons. Lineage: Eukaryota; Metazoa; Chordata; Mammalia; Dasyuromorphia; Dasyuridae.